Molecule: ribosomal RNA, 406 nt
Filed under: uncultured bacterium
Lineage: Bacteria
Description: bacterial SSU rRNA
Rfam family: Bacterial small subunit ribosomal RNA
Source: RNAcentral
AACGAACGCUGGCGGCGUGCCUAACACAUGCAAGUCGCGCGGGAAAGUUCCCUUCGGGGAGCGAGUAUAGCGGCGCACGGGUGAGUAAUACGUAGGUAACCUGCCCUCGAGACUGGGACAACCUGUCGAAAGACGGGCUAAUACCGGAUAAGACCACGAGAGCUGCGGCUCUUGGGGUAAAAGGUGGCCUCUGCUUGCAAGCUAUCACUUGAGGAUGGGCCUGCGCGCCAUUAGCUAGUUGGUGAGGUAACGGCUCACCAAGGCAGAGAUGGCUAGCUGGUCUGAGAGGAUGACCAGCCACACUGGGACUGAGACACGGCCCAGACUCCUACGGGAGGCAGCAGUGGGGAAUAUUGCGCAAUGGGCGAAAGCCUGACGCAGCGACGCCGCGUGGGUGAUGAAGGCC